GACGAACGCUGGCGGCGUGCUUAACACAUGCAAGUCGAACGGAAAGGCCCUGCUUUUGUGGGGUUCUCGAGUGGCGAACGGGUGAGUAACACGUGAGUAACCUGCCCUUGACUUUGGGAUAACUUCAGGAAACUGGGGCUAAUAUCGGAUAGGAUCUCCUGCUGCAUGGUGUGGGUUGGAAAGUUUCGGCGGUUGGGGAUGGACUCGCGGCUUAUCAGCUUGUUGGUGGGGUAGUGGCUUACCAAGGCUUUGACGGGUAGCCGGCCUGAGAGGGUGACCGGCCACAUUGGGACUGAGAUACGGCCCAGACUCCUACGGGAGGCAGCAGUGGGGAAUAUUGCACAAUGGGCGGAAGCCUGAUGCAGCAACGCCGCGUGCGGGAUGACGGCCUUCGGGUUGUAAACCGCUUUCGCCUGUGACGAAGCGUGAGUGACGGUAAUGGGUAAAGAAGCACCGGCUAACUACGUG
RNAcentral lists this ribosomal RNA (468 nucleotides) under uncultured bacterium. RNAcentral's name for it is "partial 16S ribosomal RNA". It matches the Rfam family "Bacterial small subunit ribosomal RNA", at positions 28 to 507 of the family's 1533-position model. The record is from RNAcentral.